Salvia splendens (bonfire salvia) is the source of this 1289-nucleotide long non-coding RNA. RefSeq lists it as uncharacterized. Lineage: Eukaryota; Viridiplantae; Streptophyta; Magnoliopsida; Lamiales; Lamiaceae. The record is from RefSeq and is a predicted model, not a curated record. The transcript has 2 exons.
AUAACCUUUAGGGCGUGUUCUCCUUAUUGGUUAUGCCCAGAUUCCACUCCAAAUCCCUUCAUAUCAUAGUGUUUGCCUUCUAUGUUUUAAAAUCGAGAUGGCCCGAUAAAAAAGGACAGGCCCGCACUGUUCACGGGUUUUGGGCCAGAUUUUAAAUCUUCCAAAAGAGAUGAGAUUUUUAAUCUGCAUCGAGCUGUGUACCCAGACUUGGAGGUUAAAUCCCUAAUGUGCCCUUGCUUUUGACGUGUCCAUUGGCGGAAUACACUCCAUCUUCUUCGAAUUGGGGAAGUGAAAAUUUGGAUUCAAAAUCUCAUUCAAUUUGGGGAGCGGCUGGGUCGCGGAGAGGGGAUACCAUAUCCAAAAAUUGCAGGGAAAGAGACCGCAAUUCCCUUUUCAGCUUUUCCUUCCCAUGUAAGGCUCUUCGGUUUCGUGUGAUUUAAUUUGAAGUUUUUUGCUCAUCCGAAAUGAACAUCUGUCUAUUCUGCGACGAUCGUGACCGCUGGUGAUGAUGUUUGGAAGGAGAUCUUUGAGAAAAACUCAUAUGCAAGAGCGUACUACUACACGCAUGAGCCAAUAUUCAAUGAGCUUGCAAUGCUUUUCGGCAUGGACGACGUCAAAUUGGAGCAGCAGUCUCCGACGGUGAUCGUCAUCUCGGACACCACCGUGGUCGAACCAUAUGGAGAUGGGGAUGAGGAAGUUAAUUCACCCGCUAUCUUCCCUACCUCUAAGGUCAAGCGCAAGCUCUUCGUCGACGAGGAUGGUGCUUCUGACCGUGAAUCGACCAACCAGCCACCCAAUCCUCUCAUCAAUGCCGGAGCAGAUGUAGUUGUUGUGAACCGCGUGGCUAAGAGCAACAAGUAUCCCACAAACUCAGCACUAGUCCAAGCGGGUGGAACUCCUCAGCGUGUGAGUCCUAUCACAAGCUCGUGCGCGUCAUCCUCUCCGGCUGCAUGGUGGCGCCAUCAUGAACUUUGAAGAUUCGACCUCGACGAGGAGGCACGUGCAAGUCCAACUACUAUAAAAUAUUAAGUUGUGUGCUAAAAUUAGAGGCAUUGCACUCCACCAUCUUUUGUCUUGUUUCCAAUUUGCAUCUCUGUUUAUGCGUAUGUAACAUUUUUUGAUCUUGAAAAAUUCGUAUGGUGUUUGAAGUUGUAACCAAACCAAGGAAUGGAGUAGCUAAAUAUUAUGUGUGUACUAGUUGUACGUCACCAAGUAGUUGGUUUUCAUGUUGAAAUAGAACCAUGGAAUGAAGUUUAACUAUUGGGCAUGGAUUUAUUGUGUCUAUUUUA